RNAcentral lists this RNase P RNA (319 nucleotides) under Daphnia magna. RNAcentral's name for it is "Nuclear RNase P". It matches the Rfam family "Nuclear RNase P". From Rfam's summary of the family: Ribonuclease P (RNase P) is a ubiquitous endoribonuclease, found in archaea, bacteria and eukarya as well as chloroplasts and mitochondria. The record is from Rfam by way of RNAcentral. Lineage: Eukaryota; Metazoa; Arthropoda; Branchiopoda; Diplostraca; Daphniidae.
GCUUACGACAAUCCCGCAAAUGUGGAUCACAUACGGAGUACUGCAUUACUCAUUUAAAUCCUCGGGAAGGUCUGAGAAAAAGCCAGUCUCUUACAUGUAGAGUUCAUGUUCUAGCCGGACAACCUUCUUGUGAAGGUAUAGAGGAAUAGAAAGAUAUCGGUUGGAGGUUACCUGCCCACGAUGCCUCUUUGGCUAGGCGUUUUACUUCCAAAUACGAUUGGAACCGCCUCUGUGGCUUGCUUUUUGAGUAUAAUUUGCGGGAUGUGGUAUGCAUUGUUUCGCUACUACAAAACUCAAUUCAGACUAAUCUGUCGAAAGC